Molecule: ribosomal RNA, 1540 nt
Filed under: Klebsiella variicola
Lineage: Bacteria; Pseudomonadati; Pseudomonadota; Gammaproteobacteria; Enterobacterales; Enterobacteriaceae
Description: bacterial SSU rRNA
Rfam family: Bacterial small subunit ribosomal RNA
Source: RNAcentral
AAAUUGAAGAGUUUGAUCAUGGCUCAGAUUGAACGCUGGCGGCAGGCCUAACACAUGCAAGUCGAGCGGUAGCACAGAGAGCUUGCUCUCGGGUGACGAGCGGCGGACGGGUGAGUAAUGUCUGGGAAACUGCCUGAUGGAGGGGAUAACUACUGGAAACGGUAGCUAAUACCGCAUAAUGUCGCAAGACCAAAGUGGGGGACCUUCGGGCCUCAUGCCAUCAGAUGUGCCCAGAUGGGAUUAGCUGGUAGGUGGGGUAACGGCUCACCUAGGCGACGAUCCCUAGCUGGUCUGAGAGGAUGACCAGCCACACUGGAACUGAGACACGGUCCAGACUCCUACGGGAGGCAGCAGUGGGGAAUAUUGCACAAUGGGCGCAAGCCUGAUGCAGCCAUGCCGCGUGUGUGAAGAAGGCCUUCGGGUUGUAAAGCACUUUCAGCGGGGAGGAAGGCGGUGAGGUUAAUAACCUCAUCGAUUGACGUUACCCGCAGAAGAAGCACCGGCUAACUCCGUGCCAGCAGCCGCGGUAAUACGGAGGGUGCAAGCGUUAAUCGGAAUUACUGGGCGUAAAGCGCACGCAGGCGGUCUGUCAAGUCGGAUGUGAAAUCCCCGGGCUCAACCCUGGGAACUGCAUUCGAAACUGGCAGGCUAGAGUCUUGUAGAGGGGGGUAGAAUUCCAGGUGUAGCGGUGAAAUGCGUAGAGAUCUGGAGGAAUACCGGUGGCGAAGGCGGCCCCUGGACAAAGACUGACGCUCAGGUGCGAAAGCGUGGGGAGCAAACAGGAUUAGAUACCCUGGUAGUCCACGCUGUAAACGAUGUCGAUUUGGAGGUUGUGCCCUUGAGGCGUGGCUUCCGGAGCUAACGCGUUAAAUCGACCGCCUGGGGAGUACGGCCGCAAGGUUAAAACUCAAAUGAAUUGACGGGGGCCCGCACAAGCGGUGGAGCAUGUGGUUUAAUUCGAUGCAACGCGAAGAACCUUACCUGGUCUUGACAUCCACAGAACUUUCCAGAGAUGGAUUGGUGCCUUCGGGAACUGUGAGACAGGUGCUGCAUGGCUGUCGUCAGCUCGUGUUGUGAAAUGUUGGGUUAAGUCCCGCAACGAGCGCAACCCUUAUCCUUUGUUGCCAGCGGUCCGGCCGGGAACUCAAAGGAGACUGCCAGUGAUAAACUGGAGGAAGGUGGGGAUGACGUCAAGUCAUCAUGGCCCUUACGACCAGGGCUACACACGUGCUACAAUGGCAUAUACAAAGAGAAGCGACCUCGCGAGAGCAAGCGGACCUCAUAAAGUAUGUCGUAGUCCGGAUUGGAGUCUGCAACUCGACUCCAUGAAGUCGGAAUCGCUAGUAAUCGUAGAUCAGAAUGCUACGGUGAAUACGUUCCCGGGCCUUGUACACACCGCCCGUCACACCAUGGGAGUGGGUUGCAAAAAGAAGUAGGUAGCUUAACCUUCGGGAGGGCGCUUACCACUUUGUGAUUCAUGACUGGGGUGAAGUCGUAACAAGGUAACCGUAGGGGAACCUGCGGUUGGAUCACCUCCUUA